UACGAAGGGGGCUAGCGUUGCUCGGAAUUACUGGGCGUAAAGGGCGCGUAGGCGGACAUUUAAGUUGGGGGUGAAAGCCCGGGGCUCAACCUCGGAAUUGCCUUCAAUACUGGGUGUCUUGAGUACGGGAGAGGUGUGUGGAACUCCGAGUGUAGAGGUGAAAUUCGUAGAUAUUCGGAAGAACACCAGUGGCGAAGGCGACACACUGGCCCGUUACUGACGCUGAGGCGCGAAAGCGUGGGGAGCAAACAGG
RNAcentral lists this ribosomal RNA (253 nucleotides) under uncultured bacterium. RNAcentral describes it as "partial 16S ribosomal RNA". It matches the Rfam family "Bacterial small subunit ribosomal RNA", at positions 524 to 776 of the family's 1533-position model. The record is from RNAcentral.